RNAcentral lists this ribosomal RNA (355 nucleotides) under uncultured bacterium. Its description in RNAcentral is "bacterial SSU rRNA". It matches the Rfam family "Bacterial small subunit ribosomal RNA", at positions 917 to 1271 of the family's 1533-position model. The record is from RNAcentral.
GGACCCGCACAAGCGGUGGAGCAUGUGGUUUAAUUCGACGCAACGCGAAGAACCUUACCUGGGUCUUGACAUCCUGCGAACUUUCUAGAGAUAGAUUGGUGCCUUCGGGAACGCAGUGACAGGUGCUGCAUGGCUGUCGUCAGCUCGUGUCGUGAGAUGUUGGGUUAAGUCCCGUAACGAGCGCAACCCUUGUCCUUAUUUGCCAUCAUUUAGUUGGGCACUCUAGGGAGACUGCCGGUGACAAACCGGAGGAAGGUGGGGGACGACGUCAAGUCAUCAUGGCCCUUACGACCAGGGCUACACACGUGCUACAAUGGGGCGUACAAAGGGUUGCAAUCCCGCGAGGGGGAGCUAA